CGAAGUUCUUCUAUCACCUCCCUCUGCCCCUAAAGCCACCACCACGGCCACCUCCUCUAGCAGGCCCACCACGGCCACCUCUUGGACCACCCCUUCCACGAAAGCCACCACCUCCACGGCCCCCACCUCUGCCUCCUCCACGACCGCCUCUUGCAGCAGCUUGUGCCUGUCCCUUUGGUUGCGGAAGAAAUCUUGCAAGAGGUAAAAGCUUAUUUGGAUCAAUGUAGAAUUUGUCCCCAGGCGAAUACACGAAGUUGCCACAAUGCCUUCCAUCAUUUUGAUAGAAAAAAGAGAUUCAUUGAUGGGACCAAAAAUUUCAUCGACUUUCCCUAUCUGGGUCUUGUUUUGUAGAAAGAUAGGGGCAUUAAAGUACGGUAUUUUCUCAUUGCUGAGCUUUGUCACUGCAUCACCCUCACAGGCGUGAAGAAAUGUGGAAACUUCGACGACUUCAGAAGGAGGCCGCCCGUUGCCCCGACACCCACGACGCCCCCGCCCCCCGCCGCGACCACGACCACCUCGACCACCGCGGCCCCCGUCUCUUCCGCCCCUAAAACCUCCACCUCUGGGCGGCCUCAUAGCUUACUGUUUUGGCGUGAACUAGAAUGGGAAAGGAAUGUAGGAGGUUUCUUGGUUGCAGCAGAGUAAGCGAAGUG
Molecule: unclassified non-coding RNA, 653 nt
Filed under: Hevea brasiliensis (rubber tree)
Lineage: Eukaryota; Viridiplantae; Streptophyta; Magnoliopsida; Malpighiales; Euphorbiaceae
Source: RNAcentral